UGCGAGGUUGUGAUGUAAGUACUUGAUUCCAUUCGGUCAUAUUUUUGAUUCAAUCCAGAUCCAAGUUCAUGAUUUGAUCCAAGUUCUGAUGCAUACUUCCUAUCUGAACCAACCUUUUGCUUUAUGUUAUGGAUGUCUUCCGGGAUAGAUGAAGGUUGCAGAACGCGAUGAUAUACCAAUCCUGUCUGAAAAGCUUCCUAUGAUUGCCUGGUUCUAUUUUGUUUUAUCAGAUUUAAGUGUUAAGUUAGACUUCUCAUUGUGUCAUUUGUGUUAAACUACAGGUGGUUGUUGGAUACAAUUUGCUGAGUCGAAUCUGCUAUGUUUAUGCCCAGUUUGUGUUAAUCAUCAAGAAUUUAAUCCCUAUCACUUUUUUACCGUCAUUCUUAUUUAUCAGAGAAGGUACAGGUUUAUUUAUUUUUGCGGAGAAGAGUUACAGGUUUUAUGCUCACAAUAUUUUAUGUACCUAUAUUUUACCCACUUUUCUGUACAUAAUUUGCACAUGAUCGCGUGUUGUAAAAAUUUGUAGUUGAUGGUUUGUAAGCGCGCAUGUUCUGUUGGUGCAGUUUGUGGCUGUCUGAACUUUUUUUAUGAAAGGAAGUUGUG
RNAcentral lists this long non-coding RNA (603 nucleotides) under Hordeum vulgare. RNAcentral's name for it is "long non-coding RNA (HVUL_LNC020340)". The record is from RNAcentral. Lineage: Eukaryota; Viridiplantae; Streptophyta; Magnoliopsida; Poales; Poaceae.